Long non-coding RNA from Phalaenopsis equestris, 2015 nucleotides. RefSeq lists it as uncharacterized. The record is from RefSeq and is a predicted model, not a curated record. Lineage: Eukaryota; Viridiplantae; Streptophyta; Magnoliopsida; Asparagales; Orchidaceae. The transcript is spliced from 7 exons.
UUCGUCUCAGAGUUUAUAACUGUAUUAAUUUAGUCAAUACUCAUGAAAUUAGAGCUGAAGUAGUAUUCCAUGAUGAUAGUUUUGGUUCAUAUCAAAAAUGUCUAUGGACUAAAUUGACACUUUAUAGACUCUGUGACUAAAAUGAACCAUUGCAAAGAGUCAUGGGAUUAUUUUGACAAUUUUCCUUGUUUGUGACCCAAGUUCCAACUAACAUAAUAAAGAAUGCAUAUGGACCGGUUCCUAUAAAAAACUACUAUAGCAGGCCUAUAGCUAGAAAUUUUAUUUGGUACAAGAUAUCAUUAACGGCUCUUUUUCCAGGAUGAUGUCUUUGAGAUCCGUGAACCAAAUGCUGUGAUUAUGCGCCGGCUUGUGUUGCUUUUGUAUAACUAGUCCUUAGAAGUUUCUUAUUCAUGUUGGGAUACUUCAUGUGGUUAUGCCUCUACCACGUUCAGGUUCUUCUAAAUCAGGAAAACCAAUUACCUAAGUGAUAAUUAAAGAUUUAGACUUCACAUCGUAACUUUGUACAAUCUACAGAAUUUCAAUCAUAAUCGUUUUCUCUGUAUGUGUGUGUAUUUAUAUGGAAAAGUAUGUCGAUUCUACGCUGAAAAAAAUAUUAUAAUUAGUAUCAGAGGGAUAUUAAUUGGAGUUCAUAACUGACACUUUGAAUCAUUAUAUGGUACAUAAAGGUUGGAGAAUGAGUAUACUUGCAUUGGCAUUAUCUAAAUGGUAUAAUGGUGAUUUUGAUAUGACAGAAUCUCCUCCUCUCAGCAUCCAAUAAAAAUUCUGUGCUGAAAAUUGCAGAUUUCGGCUUUGCAAGGUCUUUGCAACCGCAUGGUUUAGCUGAAACUUUAUGUGGUUCUUUUCUAUACAUGACUCCAGAAAUAAUGCAGCUUCAAAAAUAUGAUGCAAAGGCAGAUCUCUGGAGCGUUGGUACAAUUUUAUUUCAGCUGGUCAUGGGAAAGACUCCUUUUACUGGCAACACUCAAGUGCAGCUGCUGCAAAAUAUAGUAAAAUCAAAUGAGGUGCAUUUCAAGAAGUUGCUAAGCCGAAAUCCAGUGAGCGUGUAUCUUCUGAGGAGUUCUCCAACCAACCAUUUCUUUCACGACAUAAAUCAAAUGAAUUAAUGAUAUUUUGGCCAUAGGUCCUCAGGAAGAAGUAAUCAAGAUGGCUUGCCUUUCCCUUUAGAUGAUGAGUCUGCAUAGCGUCAUGGAAGCCUGUUGGCAGCAGUGAAUGGCAGCCCUGUUAAACCCACUUAUGUAUUUAAUGUGGGAGUCCAUAUAUGUUCUACUGAUUCCUCCAAAUUCAGUGCUCCGACAGAAUCUAGCUCUGCUAACAAAAUGGAAACGUCUUAUGGAUAUGAUUCCUGUGAACUCCCAAGCCAAAGUACGAAGGGAACAAGUCUGGAUGCCAUGGAUGCUAAACAGAAUCCCAAAAUUGUCGAUUCACUAGACUUGGUUGAUCAGGAUUAUGUCAUUAUGUCUAGAGCCCCCUUAGAGAUGUCAUCUUCUUUAUUAAGCUUCUCUGAGUCGCACCACUCUACCUGCAAAUCAGAUAACUCGCUGGCAGCAUCUGGAAAUUGUGCAUUAAGUGCACCAAUGUCGAUAGUCGGAGUUCCAAUCAAUAAGAUCCACGCUAUGGGAAGCCUGGAAUGUCUCAGCUAUCCACAAGGAUCCAUGGAUUUUGGGGAUACUAUCGAACAAACAUCAGCUCACUGCAUUACAUGGAUUAGAUUGUUGCAAAAAUGCAGUUUUGUAAUGACCGAGUUGCUGAAGGGCGAGGUAAGACCCAUGAUUGAAUCAAUAUGAUAUUUGAAGCAUGUGAUUUCUAUUUAAUUGUAGAAGAAAAUGAAAUUUAAUGUUGUAUGUAUUAUAAAUGUUUCUCCUACGUAUGAUAAUAUUUAGAAUUGGGCAAUGAGAAGUUCAACUUUUCCAAUGAACAAACCUGUACUCUUGCUGCUAUGGGUUGUUAAUAUUUGUUUACUAGAACAUAAAUUAAGAAGCUUGACAUCCACAUUA